CGAUGAUAACUAGCCGUUGAAUUUUCAGUGGCGCAGCUAACGCAAUAAGUUAUCCGCCUGGGGAGUACGGCCGCAAGGCUAAAACUCAAAUGAAUUGACGGGGACCCGCACAAGCGGUGGAGCAUGUGGUUUAAUUCGAUGCAACGCGAAAAACCUUACCUACACUUGACAUACUUUGAAUUUUUUAGAGAUAAAAAAGUGCCUUCGGGAACGAAGAUACAGGUGCUGCAUGGCUGUCGUCAGCUCGUGUCGUGAGAUGUUGGGUUAAGUCCUAUAACGAGCGCAACCCUUACCCUUAUUUGCCAGCGGUUCGGCCGGGAACUAUAAGGGAACUGCCGGUAAUAAGCCGGAGGAAGGUGGGGACGACGUCAAGUCAUCAUGGCCCUUACGUGUAGGGCUACACACGUGCUACAAUGGGAGAUACAGACGGUUGCGAAAGCGCGAGCUGGAGCUAGUCUGAGAAAGUCUCUCGUAGUCCGAAUUGCAGUCUGGAACUCGACUGCAUGAAGCCGGAAUCGCUAGUAAUCGCGGAUCAGCAUGCCGCGGUGAAUACGUUCUCGGGUCUUGUACACACCGCCCGUCACACCAUGGGAGUGAAUUGCACCAGAAGUAGAUAGCUUAACCUUCGGGAUGGCGUUUACCACGGUGUGGUCCAUGACUGGGGUGAAGUCGUAACAAGGUAGCACUAGGGGAACCUGGGGCUGGAUCACCUCCUUACGGAAGGGCGCCCACAAGGGUGACUAAAUUUUCAGACGAUCAUAAGAUCUAUAAAAGAACAAUUUGCGAAACUGCAAUAAAAUUAUUUCAAAGAACAAAGAGUUAACUUUGAGGUUACUUAUUCAAGUAAUUAAGUGCUAAAGGCGGAUGCCUUGGCAUCUAGAGGCGAUGAAGGACGUUGUAACUUGCGAUAAGCCCC
Molecule: small RNA, 916 nt
Filed under: uncultured bacterium
Lineage: Bacteria
Description: bacterial SSU rRNA
Rfam family: Bacterial small subunit ribosomal RNA (bases 1-717)
Source: RNAcentral